GUGGUGGUACUCAGAAGAACAUUACUGUGAGGUUGGGAGGGCUGAGGGUGAAAGGGGUGCAGACAGGAGCACAAACCACACCUGUGUCAAAAUUGGCCUUUCUUCGAUCUUGCCAGCAGUAUGCAUACAGUAGGUGCUCACUGUGUGCUACCACUGAAAAACAUAUCCUCAUCUGGUUUGGAGAUGUGAAAUUCUCUCUGCCCCACCCCUCCUCCUUAUCUCUCAAUUCUGCUUGCAUCUCAGGUUCCCUCUGGGUCCUUGGUGGACUACGACUUUGGAGGAAAUCAAUUCUAACCCUGGAUUUGCCAGUGCCUGACAGAUGUGGAGAGCACCUGAAUCAUGGCAUGCCUUGGUUUCCCCCUCAUUCAACUGCCUUUGUAGAUCAUGUUUUAAAACCUUCCACGUCUGGCGUUGGGAACGCAGCGGCGGCUUGGUGGUGGAUAGCAGGAGGCAAAGCUCGUUCUAUGGGGAAGACACCCUUCUGAAAAGCACACGCGUUAACUGCCUGACUCACGUGGUGACACGUGGCAAGCCCAAAUGCGUUAUGGAUCUCCCAGGAAUAAAAACAACACGGCGAAACCAUCACCUAG
RNAcentral lists this long non-coding RNA (590 nucleotides) under Mus spicilegus (steppe mouse). Its description in RNAcentral is "lncRNA (ENSMSIG00000018442.1)". Lineage: Eukaryota; Metazoa; Chordata; Mammalia; Rodentia; Muridae. The record is from RNAcentral.